UGGGGAAUAUUGCACAAUGGGCGCAAGCCUGAUGCAGCCAUGCCGCGUGUAUGAAGAAGGCCUUCGGGUUGUAAAGUACUUUCAGCGGGGAGGAAGGCGAUAAGGUUAAUAACCUUGUCGAUUGACGUUACCCGCAGAAGAAGCACCGGCUAACUCCGUGCCAGCAGCCGCGGUAAUACGGAGGGUGCAAGCGUUAAUUGGAAUUACUGGGCGUAAAGCGCACGCAGGCGGUCUGUCAAGUCGGAUGUGAAAUCCCCGGGCUCAACCUGGGAACUGCAUUCGAAACUGGCAGGCUAGAGUCUUGUAGAGGGGGGUAGAAUUCCAGGUGUAGCGGUGAAAUGCGUAGAGAUCUGGAGGAAUACCGGUGGCGAAGGCGGCCCCCUGGACAAAGACUGACGCUCAGGUGCGAAAGCGUGGGGAGCAAACA
This 427-nucleotide ribosomal RNA is filed under the name uncultured bacterium. RNAcentral's name for it is "partial 16S ribosomal RNA". It matches the Rfam family "Bacterial small subunit ribosomal RNA", at positions 355 to 774 of the family's 1533-position model. The record is from RNAcentral.